This 460-nucleotide ribosomal RNA is filed under the name uncultured bacterium. Its description in RNAcentral is "partial 16S ribosomal RNA". It matches the Rfam family "Bacterial small subunit ribosomal RNA", at positions 338 to 795 of the family's 1533-position model. The record is from RNAcentral.
CCUACGGGUGGCUGCAGUGAGGAAUAUUGGUCAAUGGGCGCGAACCUGAACCAGCCAAGUCGCGUGAGGGAGGACGGCCCUACGGGUUGUAAACCUCUUUUGCCGGGGAGCAACGGGCGCCACGUGUGGCGUCCCUGAGAGUACCCGGAUAAAAAGCAUCGGCUAACUCCGUGCCAGCAGCCGCGGUAAUACGGAGGAUGCGAGCGUUAUCCGGAUUUAUUGGGUUUAAGGGGUGCGUAGGCGGAUCGUUUAGUCAGUGGUCAAAUUGAGGGGCUCAACCCCUUCCCGCCAUUGAAACUGGCGUUCUUGAGUGGAAGAGAAGUAUGCGGAAUGCGUGGUGUAGCGGUGAAAUGCAUAGAUAUCACGCAGAACCCCGAUUGCGAAGGCAGCAUGCCGGCUUCCGACUGACGCUGAAGCACGAAAGCGUGGGGAUCGAACAGGAUUAGAUACCCCGGUAGUC